GGCUCAGAACGAACGCUGGCGGCGUGUUCUACCAUGCAAGUCGAACGAACCUUCGGGUUAGUGGCGGACGGGUGAGUAACGCGUGACAAUCUGCCCUCAGGAGGGGGAUAACGGUUGGAAACGACCGCUAAUACCCCAUAUGCCGAGAGGUGAAAAGAAAUUCGCCUGAGGAUGAGCUCGCGUCUGAUUAGCUAGUUGGUGUGGUAAUGGCGCACCAAGGCUUCGAUCAGUAGCUGGUCUGAGAGGAUGAUCAGCCACACUGGGACUGAGACACGGCCCAGACUCCUACGGGAGGCAGCAGUGGG
This 305-nucleotide ribosomal RNA is filed under the name uncultured bacterium. RNAcentral describes it as "bacterial SSU rRNA". It matches the Rfam family "Bacterial small subunit ribosomal RNA", at positions 21 to 358 of the family's 1533-position model. The record is from RNAcentral.